Molecule: ribosomal RNA, 245 nt
Filed under: uncultured Saccharofermentans sp.
Lineage: Bacteria; Bacillati; Bacillota; Clostridia; Eubacteriales; Oscillospiraceae
Description: partial 16S ribosomal RNA
Rfam family: Bacterial small subunit ribosomal RNA
Source: RNAcentral
CACGCCGUAAACGAUGAAUACUAGGUGUAGGGGGUAUCGACUCCCUCUGUGCCGCAGCAAACGCAAUAAGUAUUCCACCUGGGGAGUACGGCCGCAAGGUUGAAACUCAAAGGAAUUGACGGGGGCCCGCACAAGCAGUGGAUUAUGUGGUUUAAUUCGAAGCAACGCGAAGAACCUUACCAGGACUUGACAUCCCUUGACCGCCAUAGAGAUAUGGCUUCCCUUCGGGGCAAGGAGACAGGUGG